Lytechinus variegatus (green sea urchin) is the source of this 776-nucleotide long non-coding RNA. RefSeq lists it as uncharacterized. The transcript has 3 exons. NCBI's taxonomy places the organism in Eukaryota, Metazoa, Echinodermata, Echinoidea, Temnopleuroida, Toxopneustidae. The record is from RefSeq and is a predicted model, not a curated record.
CCCAUAAUGACGUCACACAUUUGAAAUUGGUCAACAUGGCGGUACAGCACUCUCCGCGUUAAUACACUCCAAGGCCCAGCGGUAUCGAAAUGAAACUCAUUCCAACUCAGGAAUAGUUGUUACACACUUACUGAUUGUUACUAUUUCGGGUUAAUCAAGAAAAGUGCAGUUCAUAAGUUAUACAAUAUAAGAUUAGUACACACAAACACUUUGUCAUCCUGAAGAGGAAAAUACCUUCAAGUGCUACUAUUUUAGGUUUCGUUAUGAUCAAACCGGAAAUCAGACAGGAAGAGUAUCCAUGUACGUCCAUCUAAUCUGAGAGCACAUUAACAUUGCAUAUCUGCUGGAUUAUAACAGAUCAGACACUGCAGAGACACAAUACAUAUGUACCAUGUAACAGAAAGGGUUUCCUGUCAAAGUUUUCAGGUUGCAUUUUGGUCAUUUUCAGAGCAUAUCACCCUGAAGUGGAAAUAUCCAACCUAAAGUGCUGCAGGAUUUUACUACUUGUGAGUUUACCUCCUUCGGAGGGGCUUGACUAUAGACAACAUGGCGGGGAAGACAUUAGAUGACAUAUUCAAUGAUGUCCUGAAGCAGGACACUACGUCCAAAUUUCAGGCUUCAGAGGAUUUGCAGAACUAUCUCCAGGACAAUAAGAAUUCUCUUCACUGUGAUAAUAUGGACAGAUUAGUGGAUGCCCUAGCAGGAUGGGUGAAUAGUAGUAAUUUCAAGAUAUCUCUCUGUGGUCUUGAGUGUUUAUCAUUACUUGUUGAUAGAAU